CGCGCCCCCCCCCCUUCCCCUCUUUCCCUUUUCCCUUUUCCCGCCUCCUUCCCUCAUUUCCCCCCCCUUCAUCCCAUGGACAUGGCACGGCCACCUUAAAGCGCCGCGCCGCCCCCUCCUCCCCCGAUCGCCGGGGCCGCUAUGAGUCAGGUGUGAAGCCCCCGCCGGGAGGAGGUCGUUCCCCUCGCUGGCUGCAGCCCUGACGCUGGGAUUUUCCUUUUUUUGGCUUUUUUUUUUUUUUUUUUUCGGCCCCACCACCUCCCUCCUUCCCUCCCUCGCUCCCUCCCUCCAGGAAUCCAGCGCUGCACCGGAGCCAGAAGAGAGGGAGCAAAACCCAGCCCAGGCCGAGAGCCGCGUCCAGAAACCAAACCCGCCCUUCGCGUCGCAAAGGAGAAUUUUUUUUUUUUAAUCAUUAUUAUUAUUAUUUUUAUUUUUAAUACCCCUGACCCGAGCACGGUGGCGGCAGCAGGGAGGCUGUCCCGGUUAUUUAUUCUCUCCCCGCAGAGCUGUCCCUCCGGCUCACCAUGAUGUUCCGAGACCAGGUUGGCGUGCUGGCCGGGUGGUUCAAGGGCUGGAACGAGUGCGAGCAGACUGUUGCGCUGCUCUCCCUGCUCAAACGCGUCAGCCGGACCCAGGCUCGCUUCCUCCAGCUCUGCCUCGAGCAUUCCCUGGCAGACUGCACCGAGCUCCACAUCCUCGAAGGGGAGGCCAACAACCCCGGAAUCAUUAACCAGUGGCAACAGGAAUCCAAGGACAAAGUGAUCUCCCUCCUGCUGACCCACCUGCCUUUACUGAAGCCGGGCAACAUCGAGGCGAAAGUCGAGUACAUGAAACUCUUGCCCAAAAUCCUGGCGCACUCCAUCGAGCACAACCAGCACAUCGAGGAGAGCAGGCAGCUGCUCUCCUACGCCUUGAUCCACCCUGCCACCUCCCUGGAGGACAGGAGCGCCCUGGCCAUGUGGCUCAACCACCUGGAGGACCGCACGUCGUCUUCAUCAUCGUCGUCGUCGUCGGGGGGCUUUGGCGGGCAGGGCCGGGGCCGCUCGGACUCGCUGGACUACGGGCAGGCUCACUACUAUCACCAAAGACAGAACUCGGAUGACAAACUCAACAACGGCUGGCAGAACUCCAGGGACUCCGGCAUCAGCGUCAGCGCCUCCAGCUGGCAGGACAAAAACCUGGCCUGUGAGAACGGCCACCUGCCCCUCUACUCCUCCUCCUCCGUCCCCACCACCAUCAACACCAUCGGCACUAGCACAAGCACCAUUCUCUCAGGCCAGACACACCACAGCCCUUUGAAACGCUCUGUGUCCCUUACCCCACCCAUGAAUGUGCCAAACCAACCUCUAGGACAUGGAUGGAUGUCUCAUGAGGACUUACGAGCUAGAGGACCCCAGUGCAUCCCUUCUGAUCAUGCCCCCCUGUCUCCACAAAGCAGUGUAGCCUCUUCGGGAAGUGGUGGGAGUGAACAUUUAGAAGAUCAGCCUUCUGCUCGUAACACAUUCCAGGAGGAAGGGAGUGGGAUGAAAGAUGUCCCAGCCUGGCUGAAGAGCCUCAGGCUGCACAAGUACGCCGCCCUCUUCUCCCAGAUGACCUACGAGGAGAUGAUGGCCCUCACCGAGUGCCAGCUCGAGGCACAAAACGUUACCAAAGGCGCAAGACACAAAAUUGUCAUCAGUAUCCAAAAGCUAAAAGAAAGACAAAACCUGCUCAAAUCUCUAGAAGGGGACAUCCUGGAAGGCGGCAACUUGCGUGUGCCGCUGCAGGAGCUGCACCAAAUGAUCCUCACCCCCAUCAAAGCCUACUCCUCGCAGAGCUCCAGCACGGAGGAGCACGGCCGGGAGGUGGACUCGCACCACGGGCACCCCCCGUCGCUGCUGGGCUCCGACAGGGACGGCCAGGGCUCGGACUGCAAGGACUCGGCGGCCGCCGGGAUGCAGCAGCACCAUCUGCCGGGCUGCGAGGGCGAGUCGGGAGGGGCCCCUUUGCCCGAGGGUGACCUGCCCGGGCAGUUCACACGAGUGAUGGGCAAAGUCUGCACACAACUUUUAGUUUCCCGACCCGAUGAAGAGAAUAUAAGUUCCUAUUUACAGCUCAUAGACAAAUGUCUAAUCCACGAGGCGUUUACAGAGAUCCAGAAGAAGAGGCUGCUGUCAUGGAAACAGCAGGUGCAGAAACUCUUUCGGUCUUUCCCUCGGAAAUCCCUCCUGGAGCUGUCGGGCUAUCGGCAGCAGAGGAGCCGAGGCUUUGGCCAGUCCAACUCGCUCCCGAGCGCCGGCUCCGCGGGGGCGGGGCUGGCCCGCAGGAACCCCCGGCAGUUCCAGAUCCCCUCCCGCAACCUCCCCACGGCCCGGCUGGGGCUGCUGGGCCCCACGGGGCUGCUGGGCACCCCCCAGCGCAGCCCUGCUGCCAGCCCUGCCAUCCUCAAGCAGGGCAGACAGAACCUGUGGUUUGCCAACCCUGGGGGCAGUAACAGCAUGCCCAGCCGCAGCCACAGCUCGGUGCAGAGGACGCGCUCGCUGCCGGUCCACACGUCCCCGCAGACCAUGCUGAUGUUUCAGCAGCCAGAGUUCCAGGUGCCGGUGACUGAACCUGACAUCAACAACAGGCUGGAGUCCCUGUGCCUGAGCAUGACGGAGCACGCACUCAGCGGUGAGCAUUCCCUCCUCCUGGGGCUCUUCCAGCACGUCCAUGCCUCCUCUGCUGAGCCCCCCAGCCCCUGCCCAAUGCCCCCCAAAAGCUGGGACAGGCUGUGGCUGUGAGAGCAGCAGGGGCUGGAUGCAGGGAUGCUCCCGGGGCUGCUCCCAUGGGAACCUUGGCUUCUCUCGGCGCGGCGGCCGGGGCAGGGGGCGAAGCCGAACGCAGGGAUCGCACCAGCACCAGUGGAGUCUGUGCUAAUUAGCCACUCUUCAGCUUGCUAAUGAUAAUUAGUGUUAGCUCGCUACUCUCGUUAGCUCUCGAUGAAGCCCCUGCCGCCAGCGCGCUCGGAUGGGUCACGGCUUUGGAGCGUUGUGCCCUCCUGCCACCGGAUCCCUCCUCUGGCCAGGGCUGAAUCCCUGCCAGGCUGUGCCAGGGGCUGUGCCAGGGGCUGUGCCAGAGGCUGUGCCGGGCACCGUGCCCUGGUGCUGGCAGGCCUCACACAGCCGGGGGUGCCAGCGGAUAACGGGCACGGGGCGGGAGGAGGAGCGGGGCAAAACCAAGCAGGGAAGAUGGAAAGGCAGCAGCAGCAGCAGAGCAGUGGAGAGCCCGAUGCAGCAGAGCCCCAGAAGCUCCCGGUGUCCAAUGGAGCCCCAGGCACAAGGGAUGGCCCCGGCGAUGGGACGAGCGCGGCCGCCCGGAGUCCCCAGUGAGCAGCUCGGGUCUGCUGCGGAAAUCCUGCCUGGACUGUGACCCGUGGCUGAGGACAGGAGCCCUCGGAGAGGACGAGUGCCACCAGGCUCCCUGCAGAUGCAGCAGCCCUUCCUGGGGAGAGGAACGGGAGAACAAGGACUGUGGGAAGCAGCAGGGCCCUGGCAGCAUCCCUGGCUGGGAACACAAGGACACUUCUGUCACCCGAAGCGUUUCUGCGGCGCGUGCCCAGCCGAGGCUUAGCUGUCUUGUUCCUCUGCAGGAUGGUGUCGACAGAACCUCCACGAUCUAGAAGGCGUCGCCACGGGGACGCUGGGCGGGACAACAACUGCUGCGGGUCCAGCGGCGAGGUCGGGGCUUGAGGGAGCCUCAGCGAUAGCUUGCAUCCUUUCUCCUCUCUCCUCUCCUUUCUCCUCUCUCUAUCUCUCUCCUGUUUUAAUUUUGUGAAUGUGUAGAUUGUCCUUGUGAACAUAUCAUUAGACUUGGAAUUUGUGUUGUCAUUUAUUACAUCCAUGCUAAGGGGGGGGGAAAACGAUGGCAAAAAAAAAUGAAAAAUCUCAGCGACGACGAUGAAGCAGCACGGGGAGGUUGGGCUGGACAUGGAGGAGGAGGAGGAGAGUGCUGACAAUGGAGGGCUCACCGUGGGCAAACCCUGCUCCUGGACAGGAUGCCAAGGAGCACGGAGCACCACGUGUGGGUGUGUGACCAAAAACCCUUUGGGGAGGAUCCCUGCCCUGCCAGGGCUUUGGGGCCGGCUGUCCCUUCUCUCGAGUUCCGCCGCUUUCGGGUGCGGGCUGACCCGGCGAGCCCAGAUCGGAACAGAAAUAAUCAAAUAACCCCAAAAUUUCCUUUCAGUUCAGCCAAGAGAUGUGCAGUGUGGAGGGUCAGGGGGUGCCUCUCCCUGCGCCCCAGUUGGAUUGGGAUGCAGGAUGGAGCGGGGGCAUCUCACCCAGAGGAGGGUCCUGGGGGAGUCUGUGAAUUUGGGAACACUGGGAGACGUUCCUGCAUCUGGCUCCACACAUCUGGCCCAGCCUGCCCAAAUCCAGCUGUAAGGGGCUUUUCCAGCAUGGCCAAUAAUGGAUGAAGGAGCCCCCAAAUAAAACCCAAGUCACAAAGGGCACCAAAAUUCAGCUUCACAGCCUUGUUUUCUUGGCAUUACCCGUGGGGCUGGGCUGCCCCUCACCCACUGCUGCUUUUUAUAACAGAAGCUAAAUUUGGUGUUAAAUUGGUAAAUCUGACCCAGCACUGCUCUGACCUGCAGUGAUGCUCCCCCCAGUCCCAAUGCUGCUCCGAGUCCUUCAAUGGAAUAAUAACAAAUAUAAAAUCAAUUAAUUGAGCUGAUGGGUGGCAGCAAUAUUUCCAAAAUGGGCUGUGAGGAGGACAUGGGCAGCAUUGUGUGCCAGGAUCAGAGGGAGCAGGGCUCAGGGGGAGCCAGAGCAUGGGCAGGGCUGGGAGACGUGUGAACCCUUUUGUCAUGCAGCGUUUUUAAGUUGUUUUUCUAAAAAAAAAAAGAAAUAUAUCUAUCUAUAUAUAUAUAUAUGUAUACAAAAACCCAAGUGCCAAAUGCAGUGUUUUAUGUUUGCUGUUCCUUGGUGUCCUGCUUCCCGGCAGACAGGAGGUUGAGGGGGGUGAUGGGGAGGGUGGAGAAGGGAAAACCCGAAGGCCAGGGAGGUUGGGAAGAGGUGUGAGGAGGUGAAGGCAAAGCAGGGUGGGCGCUGGGGACCUGGGUCACCCCCGAGCACCCCCGGCUUGUGAGGCGUGAGCAGAGCCACCGUGGCAGGAGCCUCCCUCAGGGAGACUCCAGUGUAUUUACAGAGCUGAAAUUCUAUUUAUUCCUUCGCUGACUAUGGACACGGAGGUUUUCUGAUUGUUCAGAGAGAUUAUUUUGGAUAUUUUACCUAUUAACUUGCUGUGGCUGGGAACCAUGAUAAUGUCUGUUAUUAACAACCACCAAAUAAUUCAAUUGUUUUAUCCUUUUGAUGUUAACAAAAAAAAAAAAGAAAAAAUGCUUAUUUUCCAUUGACAGUCUAGAGGUUAAUAACGACUUAGUUGUGUUUGCUGUUUCUUGUUUUGUUUUUUUGAGUAAAAACAACAAAAAAGUGGCUUCAGUUGUGUUGGGGAAGUGCUGCCUGGCUCUGCCUGCCGGUGCUAAGUGCAGGUGGCAGAGCUCCAGGGAAAGAAGCUUAAAAGGGAGGGGGAAAAAAAAAAGCUUGAAUCCUAAAAGAAAUAAAAGUUAUUUAUAGAAAGAAAAAAGAAAAGAAAACAGAAACUCCUCCGACAGUUGCAUGAGUGAAGUCAAAUAUUCAGUAAUAAAGCGGCAGUGCCUUUCUUUUUGUACCCCCGCUGCUGUCCCCUCCCUGUCCUGUCGGAGAUGUCACCAACGUGGGGUCCCGGGGGUCAGGUGGGCAAAUCCCCCCCUGUGCUGCCCCCAGCGCCGCCGGGACCCUCUCCUGGUGCUGUUCCCCGGCCAGCCCAGCACACACAAGUGCCCUUGGGCCCGGUGGAAGGGACACAACCCUGUCCCUUUGGUGUCCCCAUCCCCGGGGACACAACCCUGUCCCUUCAGUGUCCCCAUCCCCUGUCCCUUCCAUGUCCCCAUCCCUGGGGACACAACCCUGUCCCUUGGGGUGUCCCCAUCCCCAGAGAUACAACCCUGUCCCUUCAGUGGGGACAAUCCUGUCCCUUCAGUGUCCCCAUCCCCAGGGAUACAAUCCUGUCCCUUCGGUGGGGACAAUCCUGUCCCUUCGGUGUCCCCAUCUCCAGGGACACAACCCUGUCCCUUCAGUGGGGACAAUCCUGUCCCUUCGGUGUCCCCAUCUCCAGGGACACAACCCUACAAUCCUGUCCCUUCAGUGUCCCCAUCCCCAGGGAUACAAUCCUGUCCCUUCGGUGUCCCCAUCUCCAGGGACACAACCCUACAAUCCUGUCCCUUCAGUGUCCCCAUCCCUGGAGACACAACCCUGUCCCUUCAGUGGGGACACAACCCUGUCCCUUCAGUGUCCCCAUCCCUGGGAAUGCAAACUUGUCCCUUCAGUGUCCCCAUCCCCUGUCCCUUCAGUGUCCCCAUCCUUAGGGACACAACCCUGUCCCUUCCGUGUCCCCAUCCCCUGUCCCUUCCAUGUCCCCAUCCCCGGGGACACCCCGAGCUCGGCUGCGCUGGGGUUGAGCUCAGCUCAGCGAAACCCCCCCGAGGGGUUUAGGGUGGCAGCAUCCAGCAGGGAAAAUCCCAAACUGUGGUGGAAGCUGGGUCAGCACUUAGGGAAGUGAUUUCUGUUGUCACCUUUCUCCAUGUCGGGUUUGGCUUUGGGAAUGUGCCUGGUGGAAAGGGGGUGGCUCCCGCAGACGUCUAUAAUUUGCACACAGCGACGAUAACACUAAAGUUGAUUUUAUACGAGUCAUCAGAGUUUGCAAAGUGAGUUUUAUUUUUUGUAUUCCUUUAUCUUUACUUAAAGGUGAAUGUGUAUUCCUCUGGGAGGAAUAGGAAGAAAAAAAAACAAAAAAGAAAAAUACAUUAAAAAAAACAGGAAUGUUAAUAAUGUUAAACAGAAUACUUCCUCCCUUAUUAAUAUAUAUAACCCUGAUGUAUUUAUGCCUAUUGUAAGCUGACUUUAAAGAGCUUUGACCUCUCUUCUGUUGCAUGCCGUUCCCGGGCAGCCUCUCCUUGUCCAUGCAUGCCUUUUGUCCUGGUUUUUCUGUACAAAGUUAGUGCACAAAAGAACUAUUUUUGCCUAGUUAAUGUUGCCGAGCAAUGCCUAUUUUUUAAAUUUUAAUUUCUUUUUUUGUUGUUUUUUUUGUCAUAUACGGCAAUAGCAUGUUUGUUACAUGUAAAAGCUUCCCGAUAUAAAGAAAUACUAAUGUUUGGAGAUGCCAGUCUUUGCAAGUGUACAGUUUUCCAAUGUUGUUCCCAGUGAAACACCCUCGUGAUUUCCACUUGCUCCCAUGUAUUUAUUACUCAUUUCCUCCCGUGUAACUAGGAACCAUGGCUAUAUUUCAUAUCUGCUCUAUAUUGAAAGUGAAGGGAGAUGAUUAAUACAAGGUUUUGUAACA
Molecule: RNA transcript, 7395 nt
Organism: Zonotrichia leucophrys gambelii
Lineage: Eukaryota; Metazoa; Chordata; Aves; Passeriformes; Passerellidae
Gene: SAMD4A
Gene name: sterile alpha motif domain containing 4A
Exons: 13
Source: RefSeq, a predicted model, not a curated record